GUUACCGGUCUUGGUCUCGUUUGAUGAAUUUAUUAGAUACAGAACAUGGAGCUCUCCGAAAUUGUAAAGAUACAUGUGUGUAUAUAAUUUCUCCCCAGCUCAAAAUCCGGAGCCUUGGAUUUUUAGAAUUUCUGGCUCUGCUUUGGAAUACGUAUUAUUGAGUACAUAGGGCAAAGUUAAUUACACAGAUUCUUAUUAUCUUGUUCGUGAGAUUGUCGGACUCAGUUCCCAGCAAUGGUGUUCCUAAUUGUUCCUCUGAUUUACUAAGUUUGGAAAGAAGCAUCUUUUUCGUUCUUCCAUUCUUCAAUAUUUCCCUCAUUUCAUUUCUCUAGAAACAGAAGACGAUAAUAUAUGUGUCUCUUACUGGGAGGCCAUGUAACCCUCCUCUUCGACUCAUGGGCCACCUAUUCAUGGUCGAGUCACGCUGUCGUGUUACUCGUGGGCCUUCUCGGCACCGUAUUUUACUAACCCCUUGAAGCUUUGCGCAUCCGUCUCAAGUCUUCGGUCAAUACACCUCCGCCGUCGCCCGGUGUUUCCUUGAGGCUGGGGCCGACGGUAUUCUUCAAAACGAGCUCAACGAUUGAUUACCUGAUGGGUAGCUACAUGAUGCACGGAGGUUCAGAAUCCAAAAUUGGUUGACCGAAAUGGAAGCCUUCAGUGUAGAGAAACUAUUCGAUAAAAGGUCCCAAAGAGCAAACUCUUGGCUGGAUACUUUGGCAUCCAUACACCCAGC
Molecule: long non-coding RNA, 733 nt
Filed under: Erythranthe guttata (spotted monkey flower)
Lineage: Eukaryota; Viridiplantae; Streptophyta; Magnoliopsida; Lamiales; Phrymaceae
Description: long non-coding RNA (EGUT_LNC001720)
Source: RNAcentral